AGAUUGAACGCUGGCGGCAUGCCUAACACAUGCAAGUCGAACGGGAGUAGCAAUACUCUAGUGGCGGACGGGUGAGGAAUACGUAGGAAUUUGCCCUUAAGUGGGGGAUAACCCGGGGAAAUCCGGAUUAAUACCGCAUGACCUCGAAAGAGCAAAGUGGGGGAUCGCAAGACCUCACGCUUUUGGAGAAGCCUACGUCGGAUUAGCUAGUUGGUGAGGUAAGC
This 224-nucleotide ribosomal RNA is filed under the name uncultured soil bacterium. Its description in RNAcentral is "partial 16S ribosomal RNA". It matches the Rfam family "Bacterial small subunit ribosomal RNA", at positions 26 to 262 of the family's 1533-position model. The record is from RNAcentral.